Gasterosteus aculeatus aculeatus (three-spined stickleback) is the source of this 535-nucleotide non-coding RNA. The record is from RefSeq and is a predicted model, not a curated record. Lineage: Eukaryota; Metazoa; Chordata; Actinopteri; Perciformes; Gasterosteidae.
CAAUCAUUACAUCACUGAUUACCAGCACACCUGAUGUUCAUGAAGAUCAGGCCUGUGCUCUAAUUGCAACGCUUGGUUUGCUGUAAAGCACAAAAAGCCUGAGCGGGCGUGAGGCAGCGGUUUGGAAGGCAAGCUGGAGCUGUAUUGGGCUAGUUGAGGCAAAUCUAAUGCAUUUUGAAAUUCUCAGCAACCGAAGUUCCUGUGAAAGAGAUCCACACUGACUGCAAGGAUUAUGAGCACUUCAUCUGCUACAACUGCAAGACCAACCCCUUUCAUUUAUUGUUGUGAAAUAAAACGCUGAAAAAUGUGUCAGUCUUAUUUUGCAACGCCGGCUAAGCCUUGACUUGAACAAAGGCCGUGUUGCCCACAGGCCUGUUCCGUUAAUACGGAUAAUGAGCUAAUGGUUAGUAAGAUAUCAGACCGAUAACUGAGCAUGUUCAUUCAUAUGGCAUUGGCUUUACAACAUACCCUCAUUGCAUUACAUGUCAAUGAUUUAACAUAGAACACGACGUUUCUUUCGCUAGCUGUUGUUCGG